This 6499-nucleotide long non-coding RNA is filed under the name Setaria viridis. RNAcentral's name for it is "long non-coding RNA (SVIR_LNC010620)". The record is from RNAcentral. Lineage: Eukaryota; Viridiplantae; Streptophyta; Magnoliopsida; Poales; Poaceae.
AAAGCUAAACGUAGCUAUAUUUUGGGUGGGACGGAGGGAGUACAACAAUAGCCAACUUUAGGUGCUGAAAUUUUAACAUAAUCCAUAAAGGCAUUAAAAGAAUAGCCACAUCAAUCAAACAAUUCUGGACAGAUUUGCAUAGAUGAACAAGAACUUGCAGCUAUUUUCAGUACAUUUCAGCAGGUAUUCUUUCUGAAUAAUUGAUAGCAAAUAAUCUUGCUCGUCCAAGCACCAACUUCCUUGAAUUCUUGAAAUUUCAAAAACAAAAAAAACUCGCAAAUUAGCCUGAAAAUAUACAUGUUGUUCAGUACCAAUGUAACACAUUCAAUGGCUGUGAUUGGUGGAAUCCUGAAGAAACUAAAGUACAUGAGGGUACUCAUAGAACUGAACAAUCACAUAGUGCAAAAAGAAGUGCAUUUGCUGUGAUAGGUGGAAUCCUGAAGAAACUAAAGUACAUUAUGCAGGCAGCAGUUUUCUCCUUUAGUGUUAGCAAGUAGCAAUAAUCACCAUUUGAAGGAAGAAAUUUAAAAGAUUGUAUAUAGCAAGAUUGUUCAUGAUCUGCAUCAAAGAUCAUGCAUAUUCACACUCUUUCCUUUGGCAAAAGCAAAAGCAUUACUGGCUUUGAUUCUCAAAAGAAGUAAAUGACUCUGUUCUUACAAGGAAUAUUGUGAGCACACUUCAUACUGCAAGAACCUGAGCUGUUCACUAUACACGAUGCACACUGUACAAUAUUAAUUGCUACCCAGAAACAACAUCAGAUGUCCCUACUGCUGAGCAGGAAAAGAUUGAGUGAAAAAUGGAAACAAGGCAUGCACUAACUUGCACAUAUGAGGACAGUUGAUUGGAAAAUUUAGUUGUACUGAAUUUUUUUCUCAGAUUUCUUAGCACUUCCAGAACAAGCCAUCAGUUUUAGUCAAGUAAAUGACAGUUCACUACAAGAAGUAACUUUUAGUCAAAGAUUACAAGGAGUUAGUGCAUAACUUUUACUUCUUGAAAGAAAAAAACAAAAACCCACUCAUUUAUUCUUCUUAAUAUAAUGAUACGCAGUUCUCGUGCGUGUUCGAGGAAAAAAACAAAUGACAGGAGCUCCAUAGUUAUGGUUGCAUAAUAUGAAUAUAAAAUAUAAAGUCAGAACCAUGCCUCUUAAGUUCAGAUAAAACUUAUGAUACCUUAUUCUAUGGACAGCUUACAUUGAAUUUACAAGUUCAAAGGGAGUCAAUGGCUCUUCAUUAGAUUUACAAGAAGAUAAUGGAGAAGGAAAGAAUCAACAAGACCCGGAACUACAAUUUCAGUACUAGGCCAACAGUACUACUCUGAACAAGAACAACAGAAUUAACAAGUCAGAUGAUGCAAUUGUCAGCUUCCAUUUAUCACUAGAAAAUAAAAAUAUCAUAGGAUUAGCCAUCUUUUCCCAAAUUUUACAGGAAUUCUACUUUGUGUAUCUCUUCUAUGUGCUUUGCUGAACCUAAUCCCAAUCACCGAAUUCACAUCUAUCAUGACCCAACUUUCUCAAAAUCCAUAGCGAAAUCAGGAUCUAUGCCAUCAUGUACGGACACAAAAGGAGCGAAUGACAUGACACCAUCAGUAGUAUUGCGGACACAAUCACACAAGAUUGAGAAGGGGCCACAUUUAUCUCACCCUAGCACGCAUCGGCGAAGAUGCAGUCGGCCAAUCGACCUCGAUGAUGGUGGAAAUGAAGGCCUUUCCCAGCUGCAAAGGGGUAAGUAGAUGAAGCAGUCCUCCCACAGUCCACUGCGUGGGGAGGAGAUGUCGGGUGGCCAGGCUGGGGACGUUGGCUGCGGCGGCAACUGCCACUAGGUUUCCACGAGACUCGCAAUGCAUGUUGUUUGCCGCUAGGUUUCCAUGAGACUUGCGAUGCAUGUUGGUGGAAGAGAAGCUGCGGGUUCUUUUUGGGUCUUUGUGGUUUUAUGCUCUCGUCCGCGGGCUUUGCAGCCAGGCCAACGUUGGGCCACCAAAACUUCGCAGCUGGGCCGCAUCCGCCACAUACGACGAUUUUGUAGGGUGGGUUUGUGGGCUCAUAUAAGAACCUGUCCCGCCUGCAAUCCUAGCCAAUAAGAUCUAACACGAACAGGUGGAACAUAUAAGCAUGUGUUUGGUUUGAGGAUGGAGUGGCUCUGUCCCAGUUUUUUAGUUAGGUUGAACCCAUUUCGUGCUCGUGUUUGGUUGAGAGGGAUGGGUUCAUUCUAGUUUUUUUUCUUGUUUUGAUGGAUUAGGAUGUAUAUGAUGGAUGACAUUUUAACACCAUUAGUCACCAUCAGCCAUGGAACCCAUUUGUCAUCCUCUAACGUGCAUCUUCUUCCUCCUCUCUUUCUGCCGCAGCUGUUCUUCCCAGCAGCAAUUAGAGAACCAAUCUCUCUGCUCCUUGCCUCUCCUCCCAUCUUACAAGAAGCUAGCAGCUGCAGACUGCAGUUAGCUCCACGCCCAUCUAAUUUUUCUUUGCUCCCAUCAAACCAAGCAGCAGCUAGCCAUCAUCUCUCUCCCAUCAAUCUAUUGCCUCACUGCAAGCAUCACGACAAACUUACGCUCUUCCCCAAAAUAAAAUCCAAGCACCAGCACAGCUGUGCCGCCCGCUGCAGCCUGGGUUCCUGCUGCUGUACGAUGGCACCUCACGUAUGUGCAUGGGCUGCUGACGUCGCUUGCAGCGGCGCUUGUGCAGCUCUGCCUGCGUCCCCCAGUCUAUCUCCGCUGCACCGUGCCCACUCCUGUUCCUCCCCUUGCCUCCUGCCCUCCUUGUGCUGCUUGCAAGGAACUUUGCCUGCUCUCGCUCUCGCUCGCCUGCAGGCUCGCAUGCUGCACGCGUGAAACGGAGGAUGGGAGGAGCGGCGGCAUCCAUCUGGAUCGAGUUGGUCCGAAGUACGGAGCCACUCCAACCCACAUGAACUCCCAACCAAGUACGGGUUCAACCUGGUUGAACUUGUACCAACCCACUUCAACCCACCAUUCAAACACAUACUAAUAGAACACAUGCAUAGGAUAAUAUAGUGGCAAUAUUAUAAUAGGAUGUGAAUCAAAAUCUGAAGUUUCACAACCGUCAGAUGUUGAUGGCAUCUCAUCUAACAAGCCCACAACCAUUUGCAUCCUCUACAACUACAAGCAUUGCUUACUUCACUUUGUAAUGAAUGAGGGAGUUUUUCUUAAUAACUUAAUUCUAGGUACAUACUGCUCUUUAUCAGAGCUAUCAUAGAGAAGUACGGAUCUAGAAUAUAUGGAUAACAAAGUAUCUAACAGUGUUUCUUAAAUUCUAAAGCAGUGCAUCUGGAGCCCAAACUGCUGCAGUCAAGAGGAGGAUGAUACCGAAAUCGACAUCACUGACGAACGCAUAGAUACUUUUGAGGCAAAUGAUGGAGCCUUUGGCUUUACCGUGAAGGAAGCUGUUCUCUUCCCACCAGAAGUAGAGAGGGGCAUGUGGCCAGAGAAUUACAGUCUCUCGGAUCAUGCCCCCCUCACUGUGGUGUUCUCCCCUGUUAGAAUGCCCUGCUCUCCACGCACUCCUGGGACUCUCUAGCCAUCGAAUGUCAAUGUUCACAUGCAUACAUAUACAAUUACUGUACAGCAGUAGGUAUGGCGGGGGACAUAGUACACACAACUCAGAGGCCGAGAUUUAGGUACCCAAAGUAGUGACUAGAGGCGAGAGAAUAUUUUUUGGGUUCAUGUCUACGGUUGCUACUGGCCAUUUUUUGAACAGCGUGCUUCUGCUUGUUGUUACCUAUACGUAUCUAAUCCUUUUUCCAUUUCUCAAUAAAUGUAAAUUUCCUACUUGCAAAUUUUGGACCGAGUAAAAUUUGUAGCAGAAAUCGUUCGGCUUAGUUGUUGAUAUCACGAGAUUUUCAUUUAAUUUCAGAAAGUUUUAGAACUAUGACAUCAAUUGCAAUAAGUAACUGAUGGACCCACAGUAAAUUAGUUGCCAUUUCAUUGACCCUGUACCUUUGGCGUUGCCAACAUGUUAGUAAUGUGCACCACGUGCAAGACGAACUUAGAGAGACAGUAACAUGGUGCAAACCCGUUCUGAGUGGAAACGUGAAAACUCCUCAAAAAUUCAUAUUUGUAAGUAUCCAAAACUUUGAAACAAUACACAUCUAGUUUACCCAUAGAUAUACCUUAUGGCAAAAGUUGAGGUGCAAAAUUGCCUUUGUAAUAAUUCAUACGAAAAUGACAAAUUUUAGCACUAGAAGAUAAAAUUCCCAGUGUACGCACAUAGAAUUCGUCAAUUUCGUUUGAAUUUUUCUAGUUUGAGUUUGCAUCCUAACUUUUGCCACAAAGUGCAUAUAUGGAUGUGCAUCAUUUCAAAACUUUUGAAUACUUGCAUGUAUGAUUUUUUUGAGAUAUUUUUACAUUUCCAGGAAACUAAUGAGACGCUUUGGGACAGUGCUGUCCUUUGUUGACAUGGCUUGGUACCAAUUUGAUUCAAUUGCUAUAUCAUACUAGGAUGGUGGGCGCGCUUCGCCGCGCCUGCACUUGGGGAUCGCAGCAGUACACUGUGGAAGUGGCUGUUUCAAACAUCAGCACAUCGGCUUGCAGCCUUCGGUAGCGAAGCAGACUGGUAAUGCCGCUUGGUCAGUUGGUCUAAAAGAGAAAGGAUGGUAGGUUUCAUUACAUAUAUAGCAUUGACAUGUCAGAACAUUACCAAUUAUAUAUAUACACAUACAUAUAUACAUACAUAUAUGUAUAUACAUAUAUCUAUAUAUGUAUGGCCUCCGCUAUUUUUGGUACCCAGGGUACAGAAUAUUCUGUCCCCGAGCCCCCCACCGACCCAGCGCGCGUCUCGCUUCCGUCCGCCACCCGCGCCUCCCUCUGGUCGAUUUUCUUUCGCCACGCAGGGAACGAGCGCCCCUCCCACCGGUCCGAUGGUUUUUUUUUUCCGCGGCCUUUUUUGUUUCGCUCGCGUGCGGUAGCGUGCGAUGGUUUUUUUUUCCAGGUUUUUUGUUUCCCUCGCGUGCGGUAGCGUGCGAUGGAACAGAGAAGCAGAUUGCAGGUCCAGGAUGUGCGGAGGUUCGAUUCCAGCCUGGUUUUAAACGUCAGUCAAAUAGAAGGUAUUGUGAAUUUCAAGAAGAAAAAAAGUUUGCACACUGGAAACUAGGUGUCGGUCAAAUAAAAUCAGAUUUUGUUGGAGGAAAAAUAGUUUCUUUACAUUUUGAGUGGAAUAGGCAUUUGAUAAGGGGUAAUCUAUAGUACUGGUGCUUGCGUCGGAAGAAUUUUCCAAGCAGAAUCAGGAAAAAACCAAAUAAAUUUACAAUUGGGAGACACUGAUUUCAGUUUGUAACGGUAUGUAGCAGCACUGUAAAUUAAUUUAUCUUUACAUAAAGAACCGUGAUUGCAAAAAGUGUCAUAAAAGAAACAAAAACUUGGAUCGAAUACAAUGAUUUUUUGACCGAGUACAUUAUGCUAUUUCAAUGAUCAUAUUUAAACGGGGCACAAUAUUGUCCAUGAGAAUUCAAUACACUCUGCUAUUUCAUUGAUCCUGUUUUUACAAUUUGGGGAACUACAAUAAACAAAAAGAAAAAUUAACAGACGUAUAGCCAAUCGACCAUCCCGUGUGCAGGUAACCAGCAUGCAUAUUGCAAUAUGCAAAAGAGCUAAGUAUUAUUAGUAUAUGCAGGUUAAAGACAGCCCAUAUACAUUGUGGAAGAUCGUUAACAAUAGAUUGGCAUGUUUGUUGCAGCAAGCCCCAGGCAUGAUAUUUCUUUCAAAAUUAUUUAACCAAUUGAAAAUUAAAAAUACUGUUAAUAUUUUGUCACCCACCGGUCCAAUUGCAAGUUAACUGGUUAUCGUGAUUAUAAAUUUUGGAUCUUGUCAAGAUAGAAAACCAUAUAGCUCCAAAAGAGUAGAGUAUAUCCAUAUAGCAAAAGAUCUUUAGGUCCGGUCAUAGAAAACUAUCUUUCUCUGCUAGUAUGAAGUCAACCAAACAACCAAAAUAGUAGUUUAGAAUCACCUAGUUUAGAAUCUCAAGACAACUGACACAAAUUUGUGAACUGAACAGUAACAAUCUUGGCAACGUAACUUUAAUCUCUGUAUAACUGAAAGCUGCAGCCUUUAGAUCAAUUGUGCAUUGGUUUAAUCCAUCCAAACAUAUAGCUAAUCAUGCAUAUUAGCAGCUUCCCUAUUAAAUGUUCGUGGACUGCAACAUUUGCCAGCAGGAGAAUCACUUUGUUUCCGUAUGCUGAAUAUGAAUUAGUUUCAGAAACGUGUCAUGGGGUAAGUUAAUUUGAGUUCCUUUCAUCCACACAUGUCAGCCAUGAUCGAUGUACCCACAUCAUAUCCAAUGGGUAGUUGAUUAAUUAGUUACCUGUAUCCAGUCUUCCCGCGAACUGUUGCCUUGGCCAUUACUCCUGCUUGCUGCUGCAGCUCGCUCGCAUCCUGGUACGGCAAAGUUCCAAAUUCAAUGGAGCGUUUUAGAAAGAAAUGAAAGAGUUCAGGAACAUGAACUCCUAUUUGAGUACAUACGCAUCUGAUAUUUAACCCCGAAAAAAAAACAAAAAAA